CGCAGCUGUGUCAAAUUGAGCACGUGCUCCCUUUCAUGGUAGGAGCUGGCCCAUACAGCUGCCACACAACACUGUAGCUCGUGGGCCCCAAGUCCCUCUUAUAGGGGAUUGGGGAUAAAUCUUACUGAGGACACUG
This 136-nucleotide small nucleolar RNA is filed under the name Notamacropus eugenii (tammar wallaby). RNAcentral describes it as "Small nucleolar RNA SNORA5 (ENSMEUG00000017525.1)". It matches the Rfam family "Small nucleolar RNA SNORA5". From Rfam's summary of the family: ACA5 is a member of the H/ACA class of snoRNA that guide the sites of modification of uridines to pseudouridines. The record is from RNAcentral. Lineage: Eukaryota; Metazoa; Chordata; Mammalia; Diprotodontia; Macropodidae.